CUCCCUGAUAUCAGCGGCGGACGGGUGAGUAACACGUGGGUAACCUGCCUGUAAGACUGGGAUAACUCCGGGAAACCGGGGCUAAUACCGGAUAACUCAUUUCCUCGCAUGAGGAAAUGUUGAAAGGUGGCUUUUAGCUACCACUUACAGAUGGACCCGCGGCGCAUUAGCUAGUUGGUGAGGUAACGGCUCACCAAGGCGACGAUGCGUAGCCGACCUGAGAGGGUGAUCGGCCACACUGGGACUGAGACACGGCCCAGACUCCUACGGGAGGCAGCAGUAGGGAAUCUUCCGCAAUGGACGAAAGUCUGACGGAGCAACGCCGCGUGAGUGAUGAAGGUUUUCGGAUCGUAAAGCUCUGUUGUUAGGGAAGAACAAGUGCCGUUCGAAUAGGGCGGCACCUUGACGGUACCUAACCAGAAAGCCACGGCUAACUACGUGCCAGCAGCCGCG
Molecule: ribosomal RNA, 453 nt
Filed under: Rossellomorea vietnamensis
Lineage: Bacteria; Bacillati; Bacillota; Bacilli; Caryophanales; Bacillaceae
Description: bacterial SSU rRNA
Rfam family: Bacterial small subunit ribosomal RNA
Source: RNAcentral